GAUGAACGCUGGCGGCGUGCCUAACACAUGCAAGUCGAACGGAAAGGCCCUGCUUUUGUGGGGUGCCCGAUUGGCGAACGGGUGAGUAACACGUGAGUAACCUGCUCUUCACUUUGGGAUAACUUCAGGUAACUGGGGCUAAUACCGGAUAGGAGCUGCUGCUGCCUGGUGGGGGUUGGAAAGUUUCGGCGGUUGGGGAUGGACUCGCGGCUUAUCAGCUUGUUGGUGGGGUAGGGGCUGACCAAGGCUUUGACGGGUCGCCGGCCUUGGAGGGUGACCGGCCACAUUGGGACUGAGAUACGGCCCAGACUCCUACGGGAGGCAGCAGGGGGGAAUAUGGCACAAUGAGCGGAAGCCUGAUGCAGCAACGCCGCGUGCGGGAUGACGGCCUUCGGGUUGUAAACCGCUGUCGCCUGUGACGAAGCGUGAGUGACGGUAAUGGGUAAAGAAGCACCGGCUAACUACGUG
This 468-nucleotide ribosomal RNA is filed under the name uncultured bacterium. RNAcentral's name for it is "partial 16S ribosomal RNA". It matches the Rfam family "Bacterial small subunit ribosomal RNA", at positions 28 to 507 of the family's 1533-position model. The record is from RNAcentral.